RNAcentral lists this ribosomal RNA (756 nucleotides) under uncultured Chloroflexota bacterium. RNAcentral describes it as "bacterial SSU rRNA". It matches the Rfam family "Bacterial small subunit ribosomal RNA", at positions 9 to 795 of the family's 1533-position model. The record is from RNAcentral. Lineage: Bacteria; Bacillati; Chloroflexota.
GAGUUUGAUCCUGGCUCAGGGUGAACGCUGGCGGCGCGCUUAAUGCAUGCAAGUCGAACGUGCCUUCGGGCAAGUGGCGGACGGCUGAGUAACGCGUGAGUAACGUGCCCUUCGGUGGGGUAUAGCCUCGGGAAACUGAGAGUAAUCCCGCAUACGAUCCCCGUACCCUGGUAGGGGGAUGAAAGCCUUCGGGCGCCGGAGGAGCGGCUCGCGUCCUAUCAGGUAGUUGGUGGGGUAAAGGCCUACCAAGCCGAUGACGGGUAGCUGGUCUUAGAGGACGAUCAGCCAGAGGGGGACUGAGACACGGCCCCCACUCCUACGGGAGGCAGCAGCAGGGAAUUUUGGGCAAUGGGCGAAAGCCUGACCCAGCGACGUCGCGUGGGGGAUGAAGGCCUUAGGGCUGUAAACCCCUUUUCCCGGGGAAGAGAAAGGACGGUACCCGGGGAAUAAGCUCCGGCUAACUACGUGCCAGCAGCCGCGGUAAUACGUAGGGAGCGAGCGUUACCCGGAAUUACUGGGCGUAAAGAGCACGUAGGCGGCUUGGUAAGUCUCUUGUGAAAGCUCCCGGCUCAACUGGGAGAGGUCAAGAGAUACUACUUGGCUUGAGGGCAGUAGAGGAAAGCGGAAUUCCCGGUGUAGCGGUGAAAUGCGUAGAUAUCGGGAGGAACACCAGUGGCGAAAGCGGCUUUCUGGGCUGUGCCUGACGCUGAGGUGCGAGAGCGUGGGGAGCAAACUGGAUUAGAUACCCUGGUAGUC